RNAcentral lists this ribosomal RNA (415 nucleotides) under uncultured bacterium. RNAcentral's name for it is "bacterial SSU rRNA". It matches the Rfam family "Bacterial small subunit ribosomal RNA", at positions 355 to 786 of the family's 1533-position model. The record is from RNAcentral.
UGGGGAAUCUUGCGCAAUGGGCGAAAGCCUGACGCAGCAACGCCGCGUGCGGGAUGAAGGCCUUCGGGUUGUAAACCGCUUUCAGCAGGGAAGAAAUUGACGGUACCUGCAGAAGAAGCCCCGGCCAACUACGUGCCAGCAGCCGCGGUAACACGUAGGGGGCGAGCGUUGUCCGGAUUUAUUGGGCGUAAAGAGCUCGUAGGCGGUUCGCUAAGUCGGGUGUGAAACCUCCAGGCUCAACCUGGAGACGCCACCUGAUACUGGUGUGACUAGAGUCCGGUAGGGGAGUGUGGAACUCCUGGUGUAGCGGUGAAAUGCGCAGAUAUCAGGAAGAACACCAGCGGCGAAGGCGGCACUCUGGGCCGGUACUGACGCUGAGGAGCGAAAGCGUGGGUAGCAAACAGGAUUAGAUACC